RNAcentral lists this long non-coding RNA (2540 nucleotides) under Lytechinus variegatus (green sea urchin). RNAcentral's name for it is "uncharacterized LOC121428948". Lineage: Eukaryota; Metazoa; Echinodermata; Echinoidea; Temnopleuroida; Toxopneustidae. The record is from RNAcentral.
AAAAAAAAGAUCGGAUGAAAGAUGAGCAACAUGCAAUUAAUGUUCUGAUUCUUUCAAGAUGUUGCCUAUAGGCACAUUUAACCCAUGUCCCACAAUCAGUGUUUACAGGUAGGCCUAACUGGAAUCUGAGCCUGUGCAUUGAAUAACCCGAAAAGCAAACACAUGCAUUACUGUCAACAUGCAGUAGCACUGAGCACUACAAAGAAGUUGCUUAUUUGGAUACAAAGACCAAUCCUAAGCCAGCUUUUGUUUCAGUUGGAAAUUGCCCGCUCAAAUUAACGCUUUCACAAACAAUGCAUCAUUUGGGUCAUCAUUUCGCUGUGUGAUACGAUCAGGGAAGCAAGUCUGAAGUUCUUCUACUGAAAGCCUGUAUCUUUUGCCUGUUUUCUAGAAUCAGUCGAACCAUAUCGAAAAAUUCAAAUUAUCUACAGAGAUGGGUCGUCUACAGAAUAAAGAAAUAUCGUAUAUGCCGAUCAUUGAAAAUGGGUUCGCAAAAACGUCUAACUCAUCGAUUAAAUUUGGGAAUGGCAAGAAGAAGCAUACCAAUCAUCUAUAGACGAUAGAGGUCUGGGAGGAAGAGAAGUUAAGCAUUCUAGAAGCAAUGACAUAAGCAGUGGACCCAUCCUUGGCAACAACAUGACUUCUUCAGCAUGUUCAUGGAAAUUUAAUGAUCUCUUUGUGUCACCAGAACUGAGUCACAGAAUCCCUUACACCUCCAGACGGACACGGAACACAAUCCUCACAAUCACCAAAUCGCUCGACCUUCUGUCAGAGGCCACGAUGUCGAUCUGUUCGUUUUAUAUCGUCUAUUUUCAAUAUCCCACUUGCCUAAGUAAGACUCUCAUAUUUAUGCAAAGAUCUUAUUAGAUAUUCAGGAUGGAGACAACAGUCCACGGCCCAUAUUUACAUUAACAAUAAAUCAAACAUGCAGUGAGUUAAGAUAAUUAACCUUCUAUAUCUAUUUGUGUUAAUUCUUUAUUGCUGAAAUCUAGUAUAAUCAAACACUCUAGUGUCCUAAUAAUUUUGGUUAAGGUUUAUUCCAUACAAUAAUAAUAAUUUAAGAUAAAUCUGAUAUUCCAAACAAUAUCAGAUUUAUUUUAAAUCUGUAUUAUAAAAUGUUGGUUUUCACAAAUUCAAAUCUAAAUAGUGUUUUCUUAAUCAGACGCCAAGUUUAUUGUGGGAUGCUCUGGGUAUAUGACUAAGUUUGAAAAGGUUUCCUUUUGCGUAAUAAACAAAUGCAAAUGUUUGUGUUAUGACAUUACAGAGCAAAACAUUAGUUCUUUUUUAUUUAUUUGGACAGCAACAGUUUGUACAUACCAAAUUCUGUAAUUUGUAUUAUCUACAUUUUAUCACCCUUUUCACAAAGGAAUUCAUCUGACUAUUAAUUUGUAUUAUGUAUUUUUUCAUAAUUCUGUCACUCGAGUACAAAACCAAAAUUGUCCUUCUAUACCUUGAAUUUGUAUCAAAAUUAUUUUGUUGAUAUUUUCAUGAGGAGCAUGAUAACAUACUGCAAUGUACAAAACUCUUCAUGUUUACAGAAACACAUCGAACAAAAGUAAGCAAGUAAACUUCCAGAAAUAAUAAAGUUUUCAUAUGUAUAUUUUCAUAUUUGAAGUCCUUCAAUUGAAUAUCAACCUUUGAGUCAUUUUCCUACUGCCAUAUUUUUCAACAAAAUAUACAUAUUCCCUGUAUCGAGACUGAAAUCUAAUUAAUGAUUAUAAUUACAACUUUACAAAUUUUAUUUGAUUUUUUAUUCGAAUUCAUUUUGAUUUACUUUUUUUUGCAAUGAUUGUAUUUAAUGUAUAUAAAUAUGCAAUAUUUUUAACGCUUUUCUAAUGUUUUCAAGUUUACGCCUGUCUAGAGUGGGGAUUCCACUAAUGUACAUGCAAACUAUGCUCGGUGUAUUGAUUUUGAAUAUUUAGUAUUUAAUACUUUAUUUAUUUCUUUCCUCUGUUACGUUUUACCGUGUUUUUUUAAUCUACGAUUAAUUCUACAAUAUGUACAUUUUAUUUUACUUUCUUUUGCUAUAUAUUUUGUAAAGAUUUUUUCAAUCUCAUUAUUUAAAUUGAAAGAAAGAAUUUGAAUAUGAUGGUUUACAUAACCUUGUUAAAAGAAAAAAAAAUCGUCAAAUAAUCGUAGUAUGUAGUGCGCAUUAAACUGCACGUCCUAAUAAUAUAUGUUUAAAUCUAGAAGGAACAUCUUCAUUUGGAAAAGUAAAUAGGUUAGAUUUUGCAUAUAUGUUUGGAAGUUUAAUUUCAUUGGCAGUCAGAUGAUAUGGGGUUGAUAUUAUUUUCUUGUGAACAAAUAACAAAUUCAAAAGAAUUUAUUGUAAAGAAUGCAUUGAUUAAUUAAUACUGUCAAGGAGGUAUUUUUUCUACUUUAAUAGUGAGAAAUAAUUUGUCUAAAAUAUGGUAUAUGCUCUAGCCCAUCUGGAUGCCAUUAUUUUGAUGAUGUGAUAUUACUUUAAUGUCUUGGAAAUAUAUGAUAUUUGGAUAAUAAAACUGUAUUGUUACUGUAAAUAAAUUUACAAAUUUUCUUGA